This 72-nucleotide microRNA precursor is filed under the name Bombyx mori (domestic silkworm). RNAcentral's name for it is "mir-2774 microRNA precursor family". It matches the Rfam family "mir-2774 microRNA precursor family". The record is from Rfam by way of RNAcentral. Lineage: Eukaryota; Metazoa; Arthropoda; Insecta; Lepidoptera; Bombycidae.
AAGAUAAGCGCACGCUAGCGUCGGUCUACCGAGCAGUGAUACCCGCUCGGCGGAAGAUCUUCCCUUUGUCGU